ACUGCUGCACCAAGGAAACAGAGCGUGUAAGAGGACAGCAAACAUAGAAGAAUGGUUCAAAACACACAAAGGAGACUUCAUUCGGCAUGGUUCCAAAAAAAAAAAAAGGUUUGUAUGUGUGAAAUGAGUCUUUUGUGUGGUGCUCAAUAGUAUCCAGAAGUUUCCUCCCAUGCAUUUCUCACAAAUUAAAAGGAAACUUCAUUCGGCACCUAAAUAGGCUGUGAGUACAGGAUCCGGAUCGAGUGAGGUUAUCCUUAUCUAAAUGGGACCUAAUGACCCUACAGACCUUGUGGAUUACUACAGCCAGCCCCUAUAUUUCCAUAGUACAUGACAAAAGCCUCCCCUCCUUUUUUUUAUUAUUUAGUAAUCACCGAAGUGGAAAUGUGCAGCGAAGUGGAGUCGCUGCCAGUUGUGCCAGAGAGCAUCAAAGUCCAGUAAGCAUGUUUCUGUCUACUCCUUUUUUUAGCGCCUACGUAGCAACUUCCGAAAGGUGGAAAGAAACUUGGGGUCGCUAGAGGCAGCGUUCUCCUGUUCGGAGUAGUGUUUGGGCUGAAACAAAGCUUGUUGUUUGCAGCUAUGCUUCCAUUGGUUUCGCCACAAAAGGCAAGCAAGCAAGAAGCACAGGCGGCAAUAAGGCCAGAAGCACAGGGGUGGGGGGAACCGCUCUAAUGGCGAGCAAGCAAUCAAGAGUCAAGCAAACAGAUACUGGGAAGACGAAGACGACGGUGACGAGAAGAAGUCAACGAGGCAAUAAUUGUACGUGAGCAAAGCAACUGAGCUUGCGGUUGCGGCAAGGAAGAACUGGCAAUCCAGCACCAGCAGCAGCAGUGAAGCGAACAGAUGCUCAGAGAAGAGAAGAAGCCGAGCAAGCACACAGCAGGGAAGACCGGCAAGCUAGAACUUACCAAGAGAAGGAGAAGCAUCAGGCCCACCCCAGCUUCCUCGAACUCUGUCGGGACAGGGAAAGAAAGAGGAGAGUGGAGAGAAGUAUCAGCACUGAGAGACUGAGAGGGUGUGAAGACAAUGGAAUGGUCAAAAUUUAUCGGAGCGCUCACUGGAUCGCGCGCGAACGGCUUGGAUUGGCUGCCGUGCAGUACAGAUUCUCCAUCCACUUGAUUGAUAUAUCUGAACCGUCCGCUUGUAAUCCUAGGGCUGUCGAUGCUGAGGCUCA
Zea mays is the source of this 1171-nucleotide long non-coding RNA. RefSeq lists it as uncharacterized. The transcript is spliced from 2 exons. NCBI's taxonomy places the organism in Eukaryota, Viridiplantae, Streptophyta, Magnoliopsida, Poales, Poaceae. The record is from RefSeq and is a predicted model, not a curated record.